RNAcentral lists this ribosomal RNA (394 nucleotides) under uncultured bacterium. Its description in RNAcentral is "partial 16S ribosomal RNA". It matches the Rfam family "Bacterial small subunit ribosomal RNA", at positions 523 to 918 of the family's 1533-position model. The record is from RNAcentral.
AUACGUAGGGGGCAAGCGUUGUCCGGAUUUGCUGGGCGUAAAGGGCGUGCAGGCGGUCCUGCAAGUCCGGCGUGAAAGAACCCGGCCCAACCGGGGGGACGCGCCGGAAACUGCAGGGCUUGAGUACAGGAGGGGAUGCCGGAAUUCCAGGUGUAGGGGUGAAAUCUGUAGAUAUCACGAAGAACUCCGAUCGCGAAGGCAGCCUUCCGGCCCGUCAACGACGCUCAUGCUCGAAGGUGCGGGUAUCAAACAGGAUUAGAUACCCUGGUAGUCCGCACAGUAAACGAUGGACACCCGCGGUUUGGCCUGUAUGGCUGAGCCGCCAAGCGAAAGCGUUAAGUGUCCCACCUGGGGAGUACGCCGGCAACGGUGAAACUCAAAGGAAUUGACGGGG